RNAcentral lists this long non-coding RNA (1108 nucleotides) under Vulpes vulpes (red fox). RNAcentral describes it as "lncRNA (ENSVVUG00000015659.1)". The record is from RNAcentral. Lineage: Eukaryota; Metazoa; Chordata; Mammalia; Carnivora; Canidae.
CCCGCUGCCCCGGCGCCCGGCACGUCGCCGUGGGGGUCCCUGAGGGCCGGGGAUCGCCCGCGCUCCUGCGGCCCGAGCGGAGCUCUGUGGAGAGAGCGUGGCAGACAGUCUUGCUCCCUGAGAAUACGGAAAAGCGAGCCGAGACGCCUACCACCUUUUUGGUUGGGGAUAAAAGAGCCGUGGCCCACCUGGGAUUCAGAUGAAGGAAACUGUCCCCACUCCCUUUGGAGGAGGAGAGGUGUCAGCCUCCCCACCCUGAGGAGCCAACAACAGGAUGGGAAUAUCAAUGACUGUCUGAAUAGGAAGCCUCAGAUGAGCCCCGCAUGGAGAGCAGAGACAGGCAAGUGGAGAGUGCUAAGGCGCAGCUGCAGGAAGGAAAAUUCUGUCUGUGCAGCCGCGGGGUAUAGAGAGCCGCCGGGACCUGGCAACAGCGCGGCUCUUGACGGAGCUCCGCCCACCUCCAGCGACUGCGGCUGCAUCCAGGCAACUGCUCCGCCUGGCCGGUGAUGAAGGCAGCUACCGAGUGGGCGGGAGGACGUGACACUCGCCCAGGUGAGGGCCUGGGCCCAAUAGCUCUACAGAGCUGGAGCUUGGACAAAAGCCUUAGACAACAUACCAGGGAGGAGAAGAUGAAGGUCUUCUUUCUCCCUGCUCCCCAAACAGUGCCCCUACCCACCACCAAAUCAUCUGAGGGCCUUUUAUAAAAUCACAUCCUAGGAUCACCGGGGUGGCUCAAUCGGUUAAGCAUCCUACUCUUGGCCUAAGUGUUACAUUUGUAAAUUUACACUUCUUAUAGUUGCUUCUACUGGCAUCCUUUCAUUUUCUGGUACUUGACUAUGAGCAUAUAAAAAUGAUUCCUUUUAAAGGAUAGAAUCAGCACUCAAAUUCAAUAACUCAAAUGAGGAAGUGAGCAAGAUCAGGAUGGAGAAAACUUACGAGAAUAGUUUGGUUGUAUGAGAUGUGUUUGGGAUUAUUUCUGCAAUUGUAAUACAAGCUCUUGUUUCAUAAUAUGGACCCUACUCUGGAAAACACUUUCAGUGUUAAAUCAACCAACCACAUCUUCCUUGAUGUGAAUAAAUAGCAGAAAGAUUCCUACUGAAAUGUUCUA